GACGAACGCUGGCGGUGUGCUUAACACAUGCAAGUCGAACGGUAAGGCCCUUUCGGGGGUACACGAGUGGCGAACGGGUGAGUAACACGUGAGUAACCUGCCCUCAUCUCUGGGAUAACAGUCGGAAACGGUUGCUAAUACUGGAUAUGAGCUUGCAAGGCAUCUUGUGGGUUGGAAAGAUUUUUUUUGGUUGGGGAUGGACUCGCGGCCUAUCAGCUUGUUGGUGAGGUAGUGGCUCACCAAGGCUUCGACGGGUAGCCGGCCUGAGAGGGCGACCGGCCACAUUGGGACUGAGAGACGGCCCAAACUCCUACGGGGGGCAGCAAUGGGGAAUAUUGCACAAUGGACGGAAGUCUGAUGCAGCAACGCCGCGUGCGGGAUGACGGCCUUCGGGUUGUAAACCGCUUUCAAUUGUGACGAAGCUUUUUUGUGACGGUAGCAGUAGAAGAAGCACCGGCUAACUACGUG
RNAcentral lists this ribosomal RNA (468 nucleotides) under uncultured bacterium. RNAcentral describes it as "partial 16S ribosomal RNA". It matches the Rfam family "Bacterial small subunit ribosomal RNA", at positions 28 to 507 of the family's 1533-position model. The record is from RNAcentral.